AAGACCUUGCACUUUUGGAGCGGCCGAUGUCUGAUUAGCUAGUUGGUGGGGUGAUGGCCUACCAAAGCUUCGAUCAGUAGCUGGUCUGAGAGGACGGCCAGCCACACUGGGACUGAGACACGGCCCAGACUCCUACGGGAGGCAGCAGUGGGGAAUUUUGGACAAUGGGGGCAACCCUGAUCCAGCCAUGCCGCGUGAGUGAAGAAGGCCUUCGGGUUGUAAAGCUCUUUCAGCCGGAACGAAACGGUUACGGUUAAUACCCGUGACUACUGACGGUACCGGAAGAAGAAGCACCGGCUAACUACGUGCCAGCAGCCGCGGUAAUACGUAGGGUGCGAGCGUUAAUCGGAAUUACUGGGCGUAAAGCGUGCGCAGGUGGUUUUGUAAGUCAGAUGUGAAAUCCCCGGGCUUAACCUGGAACU
Molecule: ribosomal RNA, 422 nt
Filed under: uncultured bacterium
Lineage: Bacteria
Description: bacterial SSU rRNA
Rfam family: Bacterial small subunit ribosomal RNA
Source: RNAcentral